This 691-nucleotide ribosomal RNA is filed under the name uncultured bacterium. RNAcentral's name for it is "bacterial SSU rRNA". It matches the Rfam family "Bacterial small subunit ribosomal RNA", at positions 620 to 1315 of the family's 1533-position model. The record is from RNAcentral.
AGCGCCGUUGAUACUGUGGAGGCUAGGAUUUCGAUGCUGUGGGCGGAAUGUGUGGUGUAGCGGUGAAAUGCUUAGAGAUCACCACAGAAUAUCGAUUGCGAAGGCAGCUCACAAAAGCCAAGAUUGACGCUGAGGCACGAAAGUGUGGGGAUCAAACAGGAUUAGAUACCUGGUAGUCACACUGUAAACGAUGAUAACUCGCUGUCGGCGAUAGACCGUCGGUGGCCAAGCGAAAGCGAUAAGUUAUCCACUGGGGAGUACGACCGCAAGGUUGAAACUCAAAGGAAUUGACGGGGGCCCGCACAAGCGGAGGAACAUGUGGUUUAAUUCGAUGAUACGCGAGGAACCUUACCCGGGCUCGAACGGUGCAUGAAUGUUCAAGAGAUUGGACAGUCCUUCGGGACAUGUAUCGAGGUGCUGCAUGGUUGUCGUCAGCUCGUGCCGUGAGGUGUCGGCUUAAGUGCCAUAACGAGCGCAACCCUUGUCAUUAGUUACCAUCAGGUCAAGCUGGGGACUCUAGUGAGACUGCCACCGUAAGGUGUGAGGAAGGGGGGGAUGACGUCAAAUCAGCACGGCCCUUAUGUCCGGGGCGACACACGUGUUACAAUGGGAGGUACAGAGAGCAGCCAGUUAGUGAUAACGCGCCAAUCUCAAAAACCUUUCUCAGUUCGGAUUGGAGUCUGCAACUCGA